This 390-nucleotide ribosomal RNA is filed under the name Ochromonas tuberculata. RNAcentral's name for it is "partial small subunit ribosomal RNA". It matches the Rfam family "Eukaryotic small subunit ribosomal RNA", at positions 30 to 432 of the family's 1831-position model. Lineage: Eukaryota; Chrysophyceae; Chromulinales; Chromulinaceae. The record is from RNAcentral.
GCUUGUCUCAAAGAUUAAGCCAUGCAUGUCUAAGUAUAAACGAUUUUAUACGUGAAACUGCGAAUGGCUCAUUAAAUCAGUUAUCAAAUACGUGAUGGUCGCCUACUACAUGGAUAACCGUAGUAAUUCUAGAGCUAAUACAUGCAUCAAGCCCCGACUUCUGGAAGGGGUGUAUUUAUUAGAUGGAAACCAAUGCGGGGCAACCCGGUAUAUGGUGAUUCAUAAUAACUUUCGGAUCGAUUUAUCGAUGCAUCAUUCAAGUUUCUGCCCUAUCAGCUUUGGAUGGUAGGGUAUUGGCCUACCAUGGCUUUAACGGGUAACGGAGAAUUAGGGUUCGAUUCCGGAGAGGGAGCCUGAGAAAUGGCUACCACAUCCAAGGAAGGCAGCAGG